GACGAACGCUGGCGGCGUGCUUAACACAUGCAAGUCGAACGGAAAGGCCCUGCUUUUGUGGGGUGCUCGAGUGGCGAACGGGUGAGUAACACGUGAGUAACCUGCCCUUGACUUUGGGAUAACUUCAGGAAACUGGGGCUAAUACCGGAUAGGAGCUCCUGCUGCAUGGUGGGGGUUGGAAAGUUUCGGCGGUUGGGGAUGGACUCGCGGCUUAUCAGCUUGUUGGUGGGGUAGUGGCUUACCAAGGCUUUGACGGGUAGCCGGCCUGAGAGGGUGACCGGCCACAUUGGGACUGAGAUACGGCCCAGACUCCUACGGGAGGCAUCAGUGGGGAAUAUUGCACAAUGGGCGGAAGCCUGAUGCAGCAACGCCGCGUGCGGGAUGACGGCCUUCGGGUUGUAAACCGCUUUCGCCUGUGACGAAGCGUGAGUGACGGUAAUGGGCAAAGAAGCACCGGCUAACUACGUG
This 468-nucleotide ribosomal RNA is filed under the name uncultured bacterium. RNAcentral's name for it is "partial 16S ribosomal RNA". It matches the Rfam family "Bacterial small subunit ribosomal RNA", at positions 28 to 507 of the family's 1533-position model. The record is from RNAcentral.